Long non-coding RNA from Rosa chinensis, 180 nucleotides. RefSeq lists it as uncharacterized. The record is from RefSeq and is a predicted model, not a curated record. NCBI's taxonomy places the organism in Eukaryota, Viridiplantae, Streptophyta, Magnoliopsida, Rosales, Rosaceae. The transcript is spliced from 3 exons.
GCCAUAUUACUCAUUCUAUCAGUUUGUGUGUAAGGUUGAACAAGUCGCUGCCACGAAACUAGUCAAGUGAGAAUGCUCAGGGAAGAACUACAGCUUCUGCAAGAGCCUGCACAAUGAGUUAUCUUCGCUCCUGUCUUAGCACAAUACCAGCUGAGGCUGCCUAUCGGAAGGUAUUCUUCA